GUAAUAAUCCUGUAGUCGAAAAUGUUGUCUCUCUUGAGUGGAUCCUGAGUACGACGGAGCACGUGAAAUUCCGUCGGAAUCUGGGAGGACCAUCUCCUAAGGCUAAAUACUCUCUAGUGACCGAUAGUGAACCAGUACCGUGAGGGAAAGGUGAAAAGCACCCCGGAAGGGGAGUGAAAUAGAACCUGAAACCGUGUGCUUACAAGUAGUCAGAGCCCGUUAAUGGGUGAUGGCGUGCCUUUUGUAGAAUGAACCGGCGAGUUACGAUUUGAUGCAAGGUUAAGCAGUAAAUGUGGAGCCGUAGCGAAAGCGAGUCUGAAUAGGGCGUUUAGUAUUUGGUCGUAGACCCGAAACCAGGUGAUCUACCCUUGGUCAGGUUGAAGUUCAGGUAACACUGAAUGGAGGACCGAACCGACUUACGUUGAAAAGUGAGCGGAUGAACUGAGGGUAGCGGAGAAAUUCCAAUCGAACCUGGAGAUAGCUGGUUCUCUCCGAAAUAGCUUUAGGGCUAGCCUCAAGUGAUGAUUAUUGGAGGUAGAGCACUGUUUGGACGAGGGGCCCCUCUCGGGUUACCGAAUUCAGACAAACUCCGAAUGCCAAUUAAUUUAACUUGGGAGUCAGAACAUGGGUGAUAAGGUCCGUGUUCGAAAGGGAAACAGCCCAGACCACCAGCUAAGGUCCCAAAAUAUAUGUUAAGUGGAAAAGGAUGUGGCGUUGCCCAGACAACUAGGAUGUUGGCUUAGAAGCAGCCAUCAUUUAAAGAGUGCGUAAUAGCUCACUAGUCGAGUGACACUGCGCCGAAAAUGUACCGGGGCUAAACAUAUUACCGAAGCUGUGGAUUGUCCUUUGGACAAUGGUAGGAGAGCGUUCUAAGGGCGUUGAAGCAUGAUCGUAAGGACAUGUGGAGCGCUUAGAAGUGAGAAUGCCGGUGUGAGUAGCGAAAGACGGGUGAGAAUCCCGUCCACCGAUUGACUAAGGUUUCCAGAGGAAGGCUCGUCCGCUCUGGGUUAGUCGGGUCCUAAGCUGAGGCCGACAGGCGUAGGCGAUGGAUAACAGGUUGAUAUUCCUGUACCACCUAUAAUCGUUUUAAUCGAUGGGGGGACGCAGUAGGAUAGGCGAAGCGUGCGAUUGGAUUGCACGUCUAAGCAGUAAGGCUGAGUAUUAGGCAAAUCCGGUACUCGUUAAGGCUGAGCUGUGAUGGGGAGAAGACAUUGUGUCUUCGAGUCGUUGAUUUCACACUGCCGAGAAAAGCCUCUAGAUAGAAAAUAGGUGCCCGUACCGCAAACCGACACAGGUAGUCAAGAUGAGAAUUCUAAGGUGAGCGAGCGAACUCUCGUUAAGGAACUCGGCAAAAUGACC
Molecule: ribosomal RNA, 1359 nt
Filed under: Staphylococcus aureus
Lineage: Bacteria; Bacillati; Bacillota; Bacilli; Caryophanales; Staphylococcaceae
Description: partial 23S ribosomal RNA
Rfam family: Bacterial large subunit ribosomal RNA
Source: RNAcentral